AUACGGAGGGUGCAAGCGUUAAUCGGAAUUACUGGGCGUAAAGCGCGCGUAGGCGGAUUAGUAAGUCGGAUGUGAAAGCCCUGGGCUCAACCUGGGAAUUGCAUUCGAUACUGCUUGACUAGAGUAUGGUAGAGGGAAGUGGAAUUUCCGGUGUAGCGGUGAAAUGCGUAGAUAUCGGAAGGAACACCAGUGGCGAAGGCGACUUCCUGGGCCAAUACUGACGCUGAGGUGCGAAAGCGUGGGGAGCAAACAGGAUUAGAAACCCCAGUAGUCC
Molecule: ribosomal RNA, 274 nt
Filed under: uncultured bacterium
Lineage: Bacteria
Description: partial 16S ribosomal RNA
Rfam family: Bacterial small subunit ribosomal RNA
Source: RNAcentral